CAGCCGCCGCGGUAAAACCAGCACCUCAAGUGGUCAGGAUGAUUAUUGGGCCUAAAGCAUCCGUAGCCGGCUCUGUAAGUUUUCGGUUAAAUCUGUACGCUCAACGUACAGGCUGCCGGGAAUACUGCAGAGCUAGGGAGUGGGAGAGGUAGACGGUACUCGGUAGGAAGGGGUAAAAUCCUUUGAUCUAUUGAUGACCACCUGUGGCGAAGGCGGUCUACCAGAACACGUCCGACGGUGAGGGAUGAAAGCUGGGGGAGCAAACCGGAUUAGAUACCCGGGUAGUCCCAGCUGUAAACUAUGCGAACUCAGUGAUGCAUUGGCUUGUGGCCAAUGCAGUGCUGCAGGGAAGCCGUUAAGUUUGCCGCCCGGGAAGUACGUACGCAAGUAUGAAACUUAAAGGAAUUGGCGGGGGAGCAC
This 420-nucleotide ribosomal RNA is filed under the name uncultured Nitrososphaerota archaeon. RNAcentral's name for it is "bacterial SSU rRNA". It matches the Rfam family "Archaeal small subunit ribosomal RNA", at positions 459 to 879 of the family's 1478-position model. Lineage: Archaea; Thermoproteati; Nitrososphaerota. The record is from RNAcentral.